AGAGAGAAGAAAACUGCAUGACUUUAAAAGAAAACCAGUGAGAUAAAAUCAUAUAAAAUGUAUGAUGAUUCAGGAUGUGGUCAUUUGAGACCUGUUCUGUGGAUGCCCUUAGACAGUGUGUCUACCCAUCACGCCAUCUGAUAUCACUUGUUCUGAGCAUAUUUCUCUCUCAGACUUAAACUACAGAGAGCCUGUGGAUAGAGGAUGAAGAGUGACCUUGGACUAAUUUUCUAGGUCAAAGAUCAUAGGUGAUGUGAAGGAAAUACCAGGGAACUGAUGUUGAAAGAAGCACUUAA
Saccostrea cuccullata (small rock oyster) is the source of this 296-nucleotide long non-coding RNA. RefSeq lists it as uncharacterized. The record is from RefSeq and is a predicted model, not a curated record. Lineage: Eukaryota; Metazoa; Mollusca; Bivalvia; Ostreida; Ostreidae. The transcript is spliced from 3 exons.